GGAAAAUCUGCUUGGCUGACAAAGACAAUUCCUUCCGAGAAUCCUUUUGUUGUGGGACAAGCUCCUUCCCAGCCUCUGCAGGGUUGCAGAAAAUGUUUUGGGAAGUUAUGAAGACAGGAUGCAACAAACACAGAAGAACACUGGUGGUGUUUUUGUCACGAGCGCGUUCAUUCCUUUGUGCUGCCACAUGAAUGGAGUGUUCGCUGAUAAAGAAAACGCCCUCGCAGCGCACUGCUUCUAUUUCUAGUCAUAAGUUAAAAAUUCUCUUCUCAGGAGGAUCCCUCUGUGCUGCGCAGGUGUGUGGGAAAUUCUGAGCAUUUUAAUGACAUUGCAUCUUAUUUUAGUUAGACAAGUCUGAGGGAAAAUUCCUAAAUUCAAAGAGAGAACUUCAAAAAUGACAUGAUUUCGAAGAGCUCUGAAUUCUAGAGAUGUCUUCCAAAUUGCUAAAUCAGGAGUACAGACUGCCAUCUUUCUCUGCUGCUGGGAUAUGUGGAGCUGAGCUGUCUACACCAAGGACACCAUCAGAUAAAACAGGCUGUGUGCAAGGGAGAAGAAGGCCCAAGCCCAUGGGACUGGGAGGAAGCAGCCUCCUGCAAUGAUUUAUUUAGCAGGUCCAUCACUCCCACUGCAGACAGCUCCUGCUUGAGGCAGCUGAUGGAGCAAGGACAGGGAGCACACAGCAAGGGGGAAAGGAAACAUCAUCUCAAUUUUCCAAACAGGAAAGGGUGAUACAGAAACAAGGUAAUGGAGGACUGGAGUGCUCUGAGUGUCCUGGGCAGGAUGGUGGCUCUUCUCCAGAACCACUGUUGCCCUGGAGAUGCUGCAGGUGCUUCUCAAGGCUUUGGCAAGAGACAAGAAUUAGCAAGCAGAGAGCCCCUGUACCUUUUCCUACAAAGACACAGGGCAUGAGACACCAAUGACUGGUAGGAAAUUCCCUCACAGUGGUGAAUCUGAGAUUAAGCUGUAGGAAAAAUUCCAACUUUUACCCUUCUGUGCUUUGUCCUUGUCUCCUCUGAUUCCAAAGAGGCCUUAAAAAAGAUGGGCAUGUCCCAGAUUUGAAGUGAAAGGAAACAAGGAUCUGGCAGUGACUUUUUUUUAGAAAAGCUGACGCUUGAGUAAUGAAAACAACGUUCACCCAGCUGAGAGACAGCAAAAGAACAGUAUUUAUUCUUGAUUCCUUGCAUGUGAUCUCAAGUUCUCUGUGCCCAGCUUUCUGAUUUCUCCAUGCUUCCAUUUCUUACCUU
RNAcentral lists this long non-coding RNA (1244 nucleotides) under Parus major (Great Tit). RNAcentral describes it as "lncRNA (ENSPMJG00000010928.1)". The record is from RNAcentral. Lineage: Eukaryota; Metazoa; Chordata; Aves; Passeriformes; Paridae.